CGUGGUUUCCCGGAGUUAACGCGUUAAAUUCGACCCCCCUGGGGAGUACCGGCCGCCAAGGUUAAAACCUCAAAUGAAAUUGACGGGGGCCCGCCCAAACCGGUGGGAGCAUGUGGUUUAAUUCGGAUGCAACGCGAAGGACCUUUACCUGGCCCUUGACAUGUUCUGGAAUCCUGUAGAGAUACCGGGAGUGCCUUCGGGGAUCAGGAACCCCAGGUGCUGCAUGGGCUGUCGUCAAGCUCGUGUCGUGAGAUGUUGGGGUUAAGUUCCCGCAACGAGCGCAACCCCUGUCCCUUUGUUGCCAGCCACGUAAAUGGUGGGAACUCAAGGGAGACUGCCGGUGAUAAAACCGGAAGGAAGGUGGGGAUGACGUCAAGUCAUCAUGGCCCUUACGGCCAGGGCUACACACGUGCUACAAUGGCGCGUACAAAGGGCUGCAAGCUAGCGAUAGUGAGCGAAUCCCAGAAAGCGCCUCGUAGUCCGGAUCGGAGUCUGCAGGCGGGGGUCCCCGAAGUCCGAAUCGUUAGUAAUCGCGAAUCAGAAUGUCGCCCCCCAAAAAUUUUUAAAACUUGUACCCGGGGGGGGGGGCCCCCCCCUUAUU
Molecule: ribosomal RNA, 601 nt
Filed under: Aeromonas hydrophila
Lineage: Bacteria; Pseudomonadati; Pseudomonadota; Gammaproteobacteria; Aeromonadales; Aeromonadaceae
Description: partial 16S ribosomal RNA
Rfam family: Bacterial small subunit ribosomal RNA
Source: RNAcentral